AAUCAACGCUGGCGGCGUGCCUAACACAUGCAAGUCGAACGAGAAAGUCCCGGCAACGGGGCGAGUAAAGUGGCAGACGGGUGAGUAACACGUGAAUAAUCUUCCCUCGAGUGGGGAAUAACUCCGCGAAAGCGGGGCUAAUACCGCAUAACAUCGCCGGGUUGCAUGACCUGGCGAUCAAGGGCUUCGGUCGCUUGAGGAGGAGUUCGCGCCUGAUUAGCUAGUUGGUGAGGUAACGGCCCACCAAGGCAACGAUCAGUAGCCGGCCUGAGAGGGCGUACGGCCACACUGGAACUGAGACACGGUCCAGACUCCUACGGGUGGCUG
Molecule: ribosomal RNA, 327 nt
Filed under: uncultured Acidobacteriota bacterium
Lineage: Bacteria; Pseudomonadati; Acidobacteriota
Description: bacterial SSU rRNA
Rfam family: Bacterial small subunit ribosomal RNA
Source: RNAcentral